UUUCGAAUCAUUCACAAUGGGCGAAAGCCUGAUGGUGCGACGCCGCGUGAGGGAUGAAGGUCUUCGGAUUGUAAACCUCUGUCACUGGGGAAGAAACGCUUUGAGUUAAUAGUUCAAAGCCUGACUUAACCCGGAGAGGAAGCAGUGGCUAACUCUGUGCCAGCAGCCGCGGUAAUACAGAGACUGCGAGCGUUAUUCGGAUUCACUGGGCGUAAAGGGUGCGCAGGAGGCCAGGUGUGUGAGGCGUGAAAGCCCGACGCUCAACGUCGGAAUUGCACCUCAAACUACAUGGCUAGAGCAUUGGAGAGGGUAGCGGAAUUCACGGUGUAGCAGUGAAAUGCGUAGAUAUCGUGAGGAACACCAGAGGCGAAGGCGGCUACCUGGACAAUUGCUGACUCUCAGGCACGAAAGCGUGGGGAGCAAAAGGG
RNAcentral lists this ribosomal RNA (428 nucleotides) under uncultured bacterium. RNAcentral describes it as "bacterial SSU rRNA". It matches the Rfam family "Bacterial small subunit ribosomal RNA", at positions 355 to 776 of the family's 1533-position model. The record is from RNAcentral.